UACAGAGGGGGCAAGCGUUAUUCGGAAUUAUUGGGCGUAAAGGGCGCGUAGGCGGCCUGGCAAGUGGAAGGUGAAAUCCCUCGGCUUAACCGAGGAACUGCCCUCCAAACUGCUUGGCUUGAGUCCGGGAGAGGUGAGUGGAACUUCCCAGUGUAGCGGUGAAAUGCGUAGAUAUUGGGAGGAACACCAGUGGCGAAGGCGGCUCACUGGACCGGAACUGACGCUGAGGCGCGAAAGCGUGGGGAGCAAACGGG
RNAcentral lists this ribosomal RNA (254 nucleotides) under uncultured bacterium. RNAcentral's name for it is "partial 16S ribosomal RNA". It matches the Rfam family "Bacterial small subunit ribosomal RNA", at positions 524 to 776 of the family's 1533-position model. The record is from RNAcentral.